CUAGUCCAGGAGGUCGUUGUGAUAGUUAGGUCUAGUCCAGGAGGUCGUGGUGGUAGUUGGGUCUAGUCCAGGAGGUCGUGGUGGUAGUUGAGCAGGUCACAGGUCAGCACCAGGUCGGUGUGGCCCGCCUCCCUCACCAGGCGGUGCAGCUGGCUGGAGGUGGCGCUGGCGUCCUGCAGCUCGUCCAGGGGCCAGUCCAGCAGCUGGGCGCUGGAGGGCCAGGCCCAGGCUCCGCAGGGCCCGGCAGCCGCUGAGAGACCGGGCCAAGGAGCAGGGCGGGGGGGGGGGACAGCACACAUUAAGAGACACCUCUCACAUCCCCUCGGGGAGACCUUUUAGAAUGCUGCCAACCAGCUGGGCCCUGGCGAGCCUCUCUGCCUAGCUCACCGCUCCUGACUUUGGCCAUGCAGCGGACUUCUCCUUGUGAACCUUUAGAGAGACGCAGGGCGAGCUCCCAUCUGAGGCCUCGGAUUAUUGUGUUGUACGCCUUUUCUAUUGUUUGUUGAUGCAUGUUGUGAUGCAUCGUUGUUUGUACUAUUAUUACAAAUAUAUAUGAUCAUAAUUGUC
Molecule: long non-coding RNA, 567 nt
Organism: Gadus morhua (Atlantic cod)
Lineage: Eukaryota; Metazoa; Chordata; Actinopteri; Gadiformes; Gadidae
Exons: 2
Source: RefSeq, a predicted model, not a curated record